This 859-nucleotide long non-coding RNA is filed under the name Sus scrofa (pig). RNAcentral's name for it is "lncRNA (ENSSSCG00015073090.1)". The record is from RNAcentral. Lineage: Eukaryota; Metazoa; Chordata; Mammalia; Artiodactyla; Suidae.
CACCGAGGCCCCGCCCGCUGCCCGCCUCCCUCCCGGGGUCCCGGAGAGGCUCCAAGUCCUUCUCGUCGACACUUCCACCCCCCGCAUGGGGCGUGCCCGCAAGGCACUUCACGGACGGGGCAACGGAGGCUGCCUGAGGUGGAGCCGGGCAGGCCUGACGGCGCCCCCCAUCCGCGCCCGGGGAGCGGCAGGAACGCCCCUCGCAUUUCUAGGCUUUCAAAGGACUUUCCCAUCUGGGCUCUCUUGCAGGCAGGCGGGCGCGUGACUCUCCCAGAUUCAAGGAAGAGGUGGCUGGGGAAGAACCUUGGCCCGCGGGGGCGCGGGCGGGUACUGGUGGGGCAGUGCCCACCAGGAGGCACCUGUGCACAGGGACUGUUCUUGGGGCCUGAAACUCCUGGGGAACCUGGUGUCCUGCUGUUUCCCAGUUUUGCACUUUGGGCAUCUGUGACAGCUCAAGAAAAUAAGGUUCCUCCGAGUGAGGGGCCCACCUGAUCAGCCAGGCGGCAUCGGGACUGCGGAGCCCCAGGCAGCCACGCUGGUCUGGGGCACAUUUCCAAGCCAGAUGGCCUGUUUCCCGUCCUGCUCCCCAGCGCAUGCUUGGCCCCUCUGGGUUUGACCCGAUGGCCGCGGCUGGGACAGGAUCGGGGGCGCCUGCCCAAACAGCACACGCAGCAGCACACCUGAGCCUUGGAGGCAGAAGAAACCAGGAGAGGGAGUGGCAGGCCACAGAAAAAGGGGGGAUACACGCUCUCGGCCCGUCUCGCGGGCCUUCUCAGAGCCUUCAUCCCCUGCAGUGCACUGUUCUCCCAAGGGAGUGCCGCCUGGCACGGGGGAUCCCAGCCUGACUUGCACCCGGAAA